CGCUGGCGGCUGCUUAACACAUGCAAGUCGAACGAAGUCCUCGGACUUAGUGGCGCACGGGUGAGUAACAUGUGGGAAUUUACCUAAAGGUUCGGAAUAACUGCGGGAAACUGUAGCUAAUACCGGAUGUGUCUGCAAAGAGAAAGAUUUAUCGCCUUUAGAUGAGCCCGCACUGGAUUAGUUUGUUGGUGAGGUAAAAGCUCCACCAAGACUACGAUCUAUAGCUGAUUUGAGAGGAUGAUCAGCCACACUGGGACUGAGACACGGCCCAGACUCCUACGGGAGGCAGCAGUGGGGAAUAUUGGACAAUGGGGGAAACCCUGAUCCAGCAAUGCCGCGUGAGUGAAGAAGGCCCUCGGGUUGUAAAGCUCUUUCAUUAAUGAAGAUAAUGACAGUAAUUAAAGAAGAAGCCCCGGCUAACUCCGUGCCAGCAGCCGCGGUAAUACGGAGGGGGCUAGCGUUGUUCGGAAUCACUGGGCGUAAAGCGUAUGUAGGCGGAUCAAAAAGUUAGAUGUGAAAUCCCUGGGCUUAACCCAGGAACUGCAUUUAAAACUAGAGAUCUAGAAUUUGGUAGAGGUUAGUAGAAUUUCCAGUGUAGAGGUGAAAUUCGUAGAUAUUGGGAAAGAAUACCAGUGGCGAAGGCGACUAACUGGGCCAUUUUUGACGCUGAGAUACGAAAGCGUGGGUAGCAAACAGGAUUAGAUACCCUGGUAGUCCACGCAGUAAACGAUGAGUGCUAGUCGCUGGGUCAAUAGAUUCGGUGUCGAAGCUAACGCAUUAAGCACUCCGCCUGGGAAGUACGGUCGCAAGAUACUAAAUGGAUACG
This 826-nucleotide ribosomal RNA is filed under the name alpha proteobacterium SCGC AAA240-D18. RNAcentral's name for it is "SSU rRNA". It matches the Rfam family "Bacterial small subunit ribosomal RNA", at positions 34 to 912 of the family's 1533-position model. The record is from RNAcentral. Lineage: Bacteria; Pseudomonadati; Pseudomonadota; Alphaproteobacteria.